Octopus sinensis (East Asian common octopus) is the source of this 385-nucleotide long non-coding RNA. RefSeq lists it as uncharacterized. The transcript is spliced from 3 exons. NCBI's taxonomy places the organism in Eukaryota, Metazoa, Mollusca, Cephalopoda, Octopoda, Octopodidae. The record is from RefSeq and is a predicted model, not a curated record.
GCUGCAGUUUAACGACUGAAACAGGUAAAAGAUAUAUGUAUACACACACACACACACUCACACCAGAUGUAAACUACAUUAAAAGUUUAUUUUAUGUAAUUCAAAGAUUGUCUGGUAAAGAAUUCAAUGCACUGGUUAAAGAGAAAAAAUAUGUUUAUUAUAUUUAUAUCGAAAGUUGACUUUUCACACCGGGUCGGUGUGAUCGGUUGUAGGAUACUAGAUAAAUAAAGCAUUAGAAGAUACAAGGUGAAAUGACCUCAACCAAAUUUUGAUGAUUCAUUCUCAAACUAUCGUCUAUGAAACUUAUCUCUUUAGUGUUAUGUUUUAAGCUUCGUUUGAAUUAUUUUUCAUAUGAACGAAAUCCUCAUAGGAGAAAGAAAAAAUU